UUAUGGCGGCGGGGUUCCACCUCUAUCCAUUCCGAACAGAGAAGUUAAGCCCGCUUGCGCCGAUGGUACUGCAGAUUGUGGGAGAGUAGGAGGCCGCCAUCU
This 102-nucleotide ribosomal RNA is filed under the name Paludibacteraceae bacterium. Lineage: Bacteria; Pseudomonadati; Bacteroidota; Bacteroidia; Bacteroidales; Paludibacteraceae. The record is from RNAcentral.